RNAcentral lists this transfer RNA (65 nucleotides) under Phratora vulgatissima. Its description in RNAcentral is "tRNA-Trp". The record is from RNAcentral. Lineage: Eukaryota; Metazoa; Arthropoda; Insecta; Coleoptera; Chrysomelidae.
AAGGAUUUAAGUUAAGAGCAAACUUUUAGCCUUCAAAGCUAAUAAUAGAAAAUUUCUAAGCCUUA